CCGAUAUAUUGCAAAAGACGAGUUCGCUUUAGGACUAGGGUACUACAAUGGGGAUUACUCAUCAAUAGGAGGAAAAAAUCUUGGAGCGAUAUCUAAUGGUGUAUUUGGUACAGAUCAGCUUGGAGGAGGAAUAAAAGACAAAGGGCUAUUUAAUGGCAAUAUCGUAUUGCAGGUUGCACAGGUUCAUAGCCUUGGAAGCAGACUGACCAAACCAGAAAACAUAGGAUUAAGAGCCAAUGCAUAUCAAUAUGAUCAGUUGAACAGAUUGGUAGAAGCAAGAAGCUAUGGAGAGUAUAAGGCAUCAUCAUGGACAGCGAGAAACCCUA
Molecule: unclassified non-coding RNA, 326 nt
Filed under: plant metagenome
Description: partial contains 5.8S ribosomal RNA, internal transcribed spacer 2, and large subunit ribosomal RNA
Source: RNAcentral